This 9232-nucleotide long non-coding RNA is filed under the name Medicago truncatula (barrel medic). Its description in RNAcentral is "long non-coding RNA (MTRU_LNC002871)". The record is from RNAcentral. Lineage: Eukaryota; Viridiplantae; Streptophyta; Magnoliopsida; Fabales; Fabaceae.
GUGCUUCUUUGUUUCUUGUCUACAAAACAAACAUAAACGAGUUCAAUGCGUGAUUUAUCACUAUGUUCCUCAACCAACUAACCAAACCUUCAAUUCUUUACCCUAGUAGUUAAUGUAAGUGUAACAAAUAUAUCUAGAGAGAGAGAGAGAAACAAAUAUAUAUUUACACUCACGUACGUACACAAAAACCAUAUAUUUCAAGUGAAUUUGUGGUUAAAUUUGAUUGGUUGUUAUUUAUUUAUCUAAACAAAAUAAGUAUACAUAUAUAUAGAUCGAGGUUUUUUUUUUUCUUGAUAUGGAUUUUCGUUCAGGGUUUGGAAUAGUAGUAGUAUGGCUGGUUUAUUUUCAUUAGGAAGAACUGAAGAAGAAAACCAACAGAAUAAUAAUCCAACAACAGAAUUCUGGUAUAAUAAGAAUGAUGAUUCUGUUGUUUCUAAUAAUUCAUACCGUGGUUUUGAGAUUUGGAACCAACAUCAACAACAACAGUUGUUUUCUUUACAACAACCUCAACAACAAGAUCUUUACUCCUCUGGUGUUGUGUUAGGAGUGGGACCUACUAAUAGGGUUUGUUCUUCUGAUGAGAAUAGAUCUACUGUGUUUAUAGGAAGUGGAAGUGGAAGUAUAAGUUGUCAAGAUUGUGGGAAUCAAGCUAAGAAAGAUUGUCCUCAUAUGAGAUGUAGAACUUGUUGUAAGAGUAGAGGUUUUGAUUGUCAAACUCAUGUUAAGAGUACUUGGGUUCCUGCUGCUAGAAGAAGAGAAAGACAACAACAACAACAACAACAACAACUUUCUGCUCCUAAAUCAUUUCAACAACAUGGAGAUAUUGUUCCUCAAAAUAGACACAGAGAUCUUAACAAUAACAAUUCCUCUUUAGCUUGCACUCGUUUACCUACAAACCGUUCACUCACUCUCCCUUCAGCAGGUAUAUUAUAUCGUAUGUUCAUUUUGUUCCUAUUAUUGUUGUCUUUUAUUGUGUUGUCACUUUUGAUCUAUGACUAUAUACAUAUUUUCAUAUAUUACUGAAACUUCUGAAAAAGAUAAGUGAAGGUACCGAGAAAGUUUUGGAAGAGAAUAUAGAUUGCGUGUGUAAAACAAAAUUUCUGUUAGACUUUUUCUUUUCCAAAACAGUGUUGUUCUGACGAAUGAAUGGGAUCAGUGACAGGGAAGAAGCUGUUACUGUUAGUUUCUGUAGUACUACUGUUCUCUUUCUUUUCCAACAACAACACUCACUCUUCCACAAACCAACAACACUUUCACAGCUUUCACCUUUUCUUUGUUCAUAUAUGUCACAUCUUAUCAUGUCUGAGUAUGAUGCUUUCUCACAGAUACAUGAAUUAUUCAAUAAAUUUAUGUUUGUUUUUGUUAAAUAUCCAUCAUGGUAUGUAUAUACAUGUUUACCUAACUAAUAGUUUGUUUGCUUCUGUUCAAAAUAUGUUAAUUAACAUAAAAAAAAAAAGGGUUAUUGGAUGAGAUGAAUUUUCCAGCUGUGGUGAAUUCUCCAGCAGAGUUCAGGUGCGUGAGAGUUAGCUCAGUUGAUGAGAACGAAGAAGAGUAUGCAUAUUCAACGGCUGUAAACAUUGGAGGGCAUGUUUUUAGAGGAAUUUUGUAUGAUUAUGGUCCAGAUCAUGGGAGUAAUAGUUACAAUAUGGCUGCCGGAAACGCCUCUAAUUCUAGUGGUACAGCCCUUGAAGGGGUGGUUGAGCCCUUAAACCUUAUCUCAGGUGUCCCUGCUAGUGGUGUUGGGGAAAUUGUUGAUCCUUCUUCUUUGUAUCCAGCUCCACUUAAUACCUUCAUGCCUUCUAGUGGUACGCAAUUCUUCCCCCACCCAAGAUCUUGAACAAAUUUUUCAUCAUUCAGAGCCUAAAGAAUUUAGGAUAAAACAAAAACAUAUUUUAAUUUUUUGUAUUUUAUCAUUUAAUUUACUGUAUUCCUUUAUUAUUAUUAUUAUUAUUAUUUUACAGCUUUUUCUAAUCAUUUCACAGUCUUGUAGACUGUAGUGGACUAGUGCAGGUAACUUAAUUUGAUGAUGUUAUGAGAAAAACUCAAAUCCAUAUUAAAAGAAAUAAGAUUUGAAUCGAGUUUAUAAAGUAAGAUGUGUCGAAUUAUAUAGGACAUUUUAUAAGAAUUUAGGGUUAAGAUGUUCUCCCUUUCUUUAAAGAAAUCAAGAAUUUUAUUUGUUUGGGAGAUAAACACAAAUAAAAGAUAGAUUUACAUUUUUGGCAUUGAUUUCAACUAUUGAGAAAAUAUAGAAAAUUAUCACAUUUAGGGCAAAAAACCACUACUAUUUGGAGACAAUUUUCAUAUAUAUUAAUAAAUUAUAAUAGGGUUUUUCUAUCAUGUGCAAAUUUGCACAUGAUAAGAAGUUUAAAGUAGUAACUUUGACUUGGAACUUGUGCAUUUUAUAUUAAUUAUGUAGAUUUUUAAUAAUUAAUUGUUGGUUUCAAUAAAAAGUUACUAUUUUUAGUUGCCUUAACAUGUGCAAUAUUGCACAUGUUAGACAAUCCCAUUAUAAUAUAAUUAAGGGUCAUGCUAAGAUGUGUCGUAUAAUUAAUAUACAUAUAAUAUAAAUUUUUCAUCUUUCAAUAUAAAUUAGUAAUAUUGCUUAGGAAUAUAUUUGGAGAAAAGUAAAAACAUAUAUAGUAAUUUGAAAGAGUGUUUAUAUUUACGAACACCUUAUUCUCGAAUGGCGUUUAUAUAAAUGUAUUAUGUGUAUGACUAACAUGAUGUGUGUUACUCUUUAUAAUUUAAAGGACCAAAUAAAAAGAAUGCUUUUUCUUUUAUUUGAUCCUUUAAAUUACAAAGUUUAGACUAUUUUGUCCUCAAGAUUUUAUUUUAUUUUAUGUUGAUCACUUAACUUAUAAAUAUUAAAUACUUUGAUCAUAUUUAAGUUAUAAACUUAAGACACUUUAGUUAUUUAUAUUAGAUAAUAAAAUAUCUUAAUAUUUGUAAUUAAAGGAUGAAAGGAUUCAUCAUUCCUAACUUAAGGGAUCAAAAUAAAAUGAAAUUUUUCUAAGAGACCAAAUUAUAUAAUUUUGUAACUUAAAAGGUCUAAUAUGAAAGGAGACAAACUUAAAAAAAGCAGAGCCAAGUCUAAAAAUAACUUAACCAACAAAAAGUGUAAUUAAUUUUGCCCAUUAUCAAUUCCAUCUCUUUAAUUUUUUUAUGAUAAGGAUGACUAGCUAGCUAGCUAUCGCUUUUUAAUUGGUUUCUUUAUUUUUCUUUACGGUAUAUAGUGGACAUGAUCUGGCUCUAUAUUGUUGUGUACUAAAUCUUUUUUGUAUUUUAUAUUAUUUUUGGGUUGAUAUUUUCUUUCAUGUUGAAUUUCUAUCACAUUUUCUUGUUGGUUUUCAACUUCGAAUCUGCUUUUUCCCCCGUUUAUCCGUGUGAUUGCCGGUUUGAAAUUUAAAUAAAAUAAAAACAUAGUUUUGAUCAUUAUAAAUUUAUAAUUGUACAUAUUUUCAAUUUAAUUUUCACAUGUAGCGUAAUGGGAAAGUCCAACCACGCAUGAGUAUUAUUAAAGUUUAUAAGGUGAAAUAUCUCCUUCUGACCUUGCACAGUUUUGACGUUGAUUACGGGAAUGUUGCUUAUCAAUGUGUUGAUAUAUUUUUGUGUCAAAAAAAAAAAGUGUUGAUAUAUUUAAUGCACAUGCAACAAAACUAUAUACGUAUUUAGGGGAACACUCGAAUUUUUUCAUCCAUGGAGUACAACAUGUAUUUGGGAUAAUUGAAAACAGUUUGAUCAAUGGAAGACUAUAACAAGUAAAACAAAACGAAUGGCUAUAAGAUGUGUCAGCAUUUUCCGUAACCUAUUGAUGCAACAUGUUCCCCAACUCAAACUACAUUUCUUUAUUUAUUUAUUUUUUUGGUCAAGACUCAAACUACAUUUCUAUACCUUCAUAAUCUUUUGCUACAUAAUCUUUAGAUAUAUAUCACGGUUCAUGACUAAUUAAACUUUAGGUUAAAUAUGUUUUUGGUCUCUAUAAAUAUGUCAAUUUUUCGUUUUAGUCCCUCUAAAAUUUUACUUCAACAUUUAGUCCCUAUAAAAUUUUCAAUCACUACUUUUGGUCCCUAUUUUUUAAUGAAAUUAUGCAGAAAUAUGUAAAAUAUUCUAAAAAAAAAUUCCUUUAAAAAAUUAGAAUUUUUUUAACAAAACACAAAUUAAAUAUGAAUUUUUAACCGUAAAAGAUAUAAUAAUUCAUAUUAAAUUCAUGUUUUGUUCAAAAAUUCUGAAUUUUUUUUGGAGUGAUUAUUAUAAUAUUUUAAAUUUUUCUGGAAAAUUUUAUUAAAUAAUAUGAAUUCUACAUAUGAGUUUACUUUAAAAGAGGGACCAAAAGUGAAGAUUGAAAAUUUUAUAGGGACUAAAAAUGGAAGGAAAAUUUUAGAGGGAUUAAAACGAAAAGUUGAUAUAUUUAUAGGGGCCAAAAACAUAUUUAACCCUUAAACUUUUUAUAUAAUAUUGUGACUAUCAUUUUAUUUUAUUUUAUUAAAUCGCAUGGUUGAUAUUUGAAGAGAGAGAGAGAUGUAACCCUUAAACGGGAAUUAGAAAUGUACGAAUUUUUUUUUCCAGAUUGCUGGACUAAUCUCUUCAAAGUGUAUGGAUUUUUUCUUAUUGUAACAGAUUGAGUGCCUCUUAUAUUCAUUUAAAUAAACAUGAUUUUAAAAAGAAAAAAAAAGACUAAAAAAAAAUCUUGUCUAAUCACUACUAAAAAAAGUUAAAUUAGAGAAAAAAUUACAAAGAAAAAAACAUGAAAAAAUGAUUAUUUUUUCAAUUGCACCAUCUAAUUAUAAUUAAUAUAGUGUUCAUUGUUCUGAAAGCAUACACUCCUACUCCAGUUUCCAAAUUGAGAAACACAACGAUUAUUAGGAAAAAUUACUAUUCUUUUUCUUCUAUUCAUCACAUUUCUUAGUAAACGACAUUUAUUUUAAAAUAAAAAGAACAAAAUUGAAACUAAACAAAGUUGAAUGUAUUUAAUAUGAACCUUUCAAAAAUAAUUUAAAAAUCGAAACUAAAAAUGAACAUUUACUUACCUACUCACCCUUUUUUUUUUUUUUGGAGGUUUAUGACUUUUGGCUUUUUUAUGUGAAAUAAUAUUGUACAACUAUUGAAAUAACAUUUUCUCUCAUAACCAUAUUGUGUUCAUACUUUCUUUUUAUUGUUUUGGUUUUUGUGUCAAUAUUUAUCUUUCUUUAUUUAUUUAGUUGUUCGAGAAGUUGUCUCGAAAAAUGAUUGAUCAAAUAACAUAGAAUAUCUCUUUUGUUAUAAGCAAAGAUGAUCAUAUCAUGACUUCUGACUGAUAAUAGAUGUAGCUACAUUUCCAGAAAGCCACAUACUUAUGAGUUAGGAAGAAAAUGAAUGAAAAAUUGAAUAAAUUGGGACUGGAAAUCUGGAUUGCAUCAAAUUCCGUCCUUCUUGAUUCCUUUGAUUCACCUCUGUUUUUUUGGGAGCUUCACUACUAGGAUUUGAUUAGUUAAGAUUUAAGAUUAAGAAUAUGUCUUAUGUUGGGUGGAUUAAUUUGACACUUACUAUUUAUGGACGGUGAGUUUAACAUUCUCCUUAAUAUGUUGGGUGUUCUUUGAUAUAGUGAUGUUGAUUCCAUUUUGUUACUUAUGUUUUUUUUUUUGACACAAUGCUUUUAUUUUUAUUUUUUUUAUACUAUGAUCUUUACUUACUUAUGCUUGUACAUGUCCCCUGUAAAGUACUAGCAUAGAAUUCAUCAAGAAACUACUAGUAACCAAAUCUGAAUGCUAUUAGUUUUUGUGUGAAAAUGAGUUUGAAAAUGUCUUAGCAAAUUGUAAUCAACGAUGUUAAGAGAAAUUUUAAUAAAAUAUUUAAAAAGAUUAAUCUUUUUUAUCAUUAUAUACAAUUUUUUAUUAUAAUUGAUAAGAGUUCACGUUUAGAUUUUUUUGCGAGGUCCAUAUAUAAGACAAACCACACACAAAAGGGCAUGUUUUCUCUAUAAAAAAAAACAAAGGGCUGAUUUAUUGUUUUAUGUAAGCAAACCAAAAUAAAUGACCAGAAAAAUAAUCUAUCAUCCGUAAAAUCUCAUAUAGGGGUGAGAGAUUAUGUUGAGUUAGAGUUUACAAGACUUAAGUAUAUGGUUGAAAAAUUCAAGUCAUAAAUCUAGCUUGUAGUUUGUCAUGUGCUUAUUUUUAACAAACUUACAUUCUCAAAAGCUUGAUUUGAAUAGUUAGGCAAAAUAAAUUUUAUAUAAAGGUAUUUAAAUAAUUAAUGACAAUAAAUACCUCAUAUAUCUUGUCAAAAACAAAAAAAAACCUCAUAUAUACAUGCUACACAACUAUUCUCUAUCCAGUGCCCCAGUGCGGGCACUGGUUAAGAAGCAAUAAAUAGAUGAAUCUCAAUUGAUUUACCUCAAUUAAUUUGAGAAAUAAGUCAACAAUUUAAUGUAAGAAAUAAGUGUAUUGAAUACUCUUUAAAAGAUAGCCAUAAAAGACCCGCAAUGAUACACGUGCCUGAUAACUCAGCAAUUUAUCUUCCUUCGCCCUCCGCUCUUAAAAUAAUUUUUUAACUUUCUUUUAUAUUUUUAAUUAAGGUAAAUUAAGUGAGAAUAAUUUAUUUAUUGUUUCUUAACCAGUGCCCCGGAACACCGGUUAGCAGCACCCUUAUAUGUUUCUAAUUCCAUCGCUCAAUAAUCAAAUUAGAGAUGAAGCUAGAAGGGGCCAGCAGAUGUCACGGUUUUCCCCAAAAAAAAAUUUUUUUUGCUAGUAUGUUAUUGUUGGUUAAAAGACUUUUAUAAAAGCCUUUUAAAGUUCCUAAAGUUUGUAAAAUAUUAACAUUAAGAGUAAAAUAUAAAUACGAAGAUUAAAAAAAUGCAAUAGCAUGCUAGUAUAAAAAAAUGUAUAACCAAACAUGGAUAAUAAUUUAUUAGAAGAAAAUGUUAUUUUUCUAUUUGUUUGACAAUAUUAACCUUGAAUUUAUCUUAUAAUUUUUUAACUUUUAUAUAAGUUGUUUAUUUGAAAAUUUAAUUCCUAGCUCUGCCCCUAAGUUACGAUAUUAAUGUUAAGAGUAUAUUUGGAUGAAAUAAUUUUUAAGAUAAUGUAAUUUUUUAGAAUAAUUCAAAUUAUUUUGUUUGGAGAAUUUUCAAGAUAAAGGAAUUUUAUGAAAUAUUUUGGUAAAGUAAAAUAUAGGGAAUUUCAAAUACUAUGUAAAAAUUAAGAAUUUAAAAUUCCUUGGUUACUUUAACAUAUAUGAAUCUCAAAUUGGUCUUUAUAAUAUACUUUCAAAUUUUGCAGAUUUAUCUAUAGUUUUCAAAUUGGUUUGUAUUUUCAUUUAUUUUUACUCUUCAUAUAUUUUUAAUUUAGUUCCUCAACCUUCGAAAUUUCAUAAAAAUUGUCCAAUAAAGCUUAACAAAGAAGAAUUUUUUACUUUAUUCAAACAAAAUAUUUAGAAAUGAAUGAAUUCAAAAGAAACAUUUGAAUUGCUCAAAAUUUUAAUUUUCCUAAAUUUUUUAGUUAUCACAUGUGCAUUCAUUUGUGUGCCUCCUACUUCAGGGUGAAAUAUGAGAAUUUAGUAGGUUAUAUGUGAUUUUGAAUAAAAGUAAAUUAAGGACAAUUUUAUUUUAUUUUUCUCAUAUUCCAUCUCUCGGAUCACUACUAGAAAAAGCAAAAUUAGAGAGGGAAAUUAGUGACGGAAAAAAUGAAAUUCCUCACAAAUUUCAUGGUCGCAAAAUUUAGUGACGGAAUUAGAGAGGAAUUUCAUGUUUUCCCUCACAAAAUUUCUCUCACUAAUUUUUGUUUUUUUAGUAAUGGAUAUAAUCUUAUUUUUGGAACUAUAUGACACUAAAUGUAGAUAUCAUUUCCACUUGAAAUUCCAAUUUUAUUUCGCAAUGUUGUUGGAAUCUAGUUUCUUCUUUAGACUUAACCUCCCGUUGGUACUAAUUAUUAUAAUAACCAUUUUGAAAAAUGAAUUUGCUCCUAAACAUAGAUCGCAUCUAAUAUAUAUGUACCUCUAUAAAAUGGUCUGGUCUAUAUGCGAACCCUUAAUGCUGUUUUUGACAUAUUUUAUUAUAAUAUUGGACAUUUUAUUAUUUUUUUAUCAUCAUUAUUAUUAUUAGUAUUCUUAUUAUUAUUAUAGAAAUCAACUUUUUACUAAAAGUGAUAAUUUUUUGGAUAUUUUCGGAUGUUAAGCUUUAUUAUGUAUUUUUCUAAUCGUUGAUGAUGUAGAUGGGAAUUUGGGAAAGUGAUGUUCCAGUACCAUGAGGUGUAACUCUAUCCUUCUAGUAAAACAUAGUUGGUAAAGAUCCACUCUUUUGGUACGAUAAUAAUUCUUGAUUUUUUUAAUUUUAAAUUUUACUCACUUUACAAUAUCUAAUUCCAUGUUGGUAAAAAAUAAAUAGUUAAUCGAAAUAAAAAUUUCUGGAUUAAUUCUUUCUUUCCCAAGAGUACAAGAACACUUCACUAAUUGUGGAUGAUUGUGAAGAAUCAAAAUCAUAUAUGAUCAACGGCUUUAAUUUAAUAUUUUCUUCUUGCUUGGAUUCUUAUUCUUCCUUAUUUCGAUAUAAUAAUUAAGUACAAAUGUACAAUAACAUAUUUUGCCAGCUACCACUAUGAAAGCAUGGAAAUUAUUUAAUUUCAGCCGGCCUAUUAAUAAAUUCUGGAGCCUAUAUUUUACUAUUUCAAACCCUAUUCAUUCAAAUAAAGCUUUACUUUCAAAAUGAAUUAUUUCUCCCAUAAUAACUAGUAGUACUUCCUAACUUUUGAUUCAACCCUAGUUAGCAUACCAAUUAAUUCAACUAUUCCAAAAGUAUCCCAACACUUUCACAAUUUUUUUUGUGUGUGUGAAAACAAAGGCUUACAAUUGUAUGCCCCGUGUUGUGCUAGGAUGAUAAAAGAUUGUAGAGACAUUUGAUACUAUAAGAUAAUGGUUAGAACUUGCAAUAUUACGGUCUUUGCACUUAGUGCGUGUGCGAGAGUCUCGUGCUAGACUCUUUGAAACAAAAGGAUGAAACAUAUAGCUUUUUCUAUGACUUAGAUUAAAAGUUUCAACUCUAUAAGCUACAAAACAUUUAAAGGAGUGAGUACUCACCUUGACUUCAUAGUGUUCCUUUUAGUUGCUGGACCCUGGCAUAGGAAUCUCUACCAAACAGCCACGCAAGUAAUAAGCAACUUUGUUGGUUACUUCCAAGCCCUAUUCUUUGAAGUUUUAUUGGUGCUGUGAAUUAUGAUUCAUGGCUUUCCACAACUACAUAUACUGUUAAUGUAUAAUAAAGCUCAAA